AGUACUUCAAAUAUAGAAUUUGUUGUCAUCUACGCUCCACAAAGCAAUUAUCUUCCCAUAAUUUCUCCCCCAAAUCAUACUGUUGAGGGGUGAGAAUAGCUACUUUGCUGGUGUUUGUACAUUUCAUACUGCUCUUCUACAUAGAUCAUCUGUUGGUUAAAUGAGCUACAUAACCCUCAUUGGAAGUCAAUUUAUGAAUCAGGCUGCUCUGCUGCAUGCAUACGUGGAAAUUAUUCAAGCUUUUACCUGUAGGAAAUUGCAUUAGUAUAUAAGUUUCUUCAGUAGCCAACAUCAGUAGGAUCUCUCAAAUGCAAUUUAUAAAUUCUGUUGGGCUAAAUACUUCUGUUAUAUACUUCUGGAAACUAAGAUUAGGUUUGAGGAGUAUGUGCCUAAACUUUGUCAGCUAUCAUAUGGCUAUUCAGUUGCUCAACAUAAAUUAUUCAUCUCAAUAUUCAGGUGCAUGUGAUUUCACCAUCACUAGAAUUGGGAUCUUAAUUAAUGCUUUGCACUAUCUGUUGUUCAGUUUUACCUUUGUGUCUUACGUGAAAAUGUUGUGUGUGUUCACGGCUGACAACUUAUUUUAUUUUCGCAACAGAAAGCAAGGUUUUAAACGAUUGUACACCUUGAAGGGGGGUGUUUCUCAUUAUCUUGAGAGAGAAGGUUCUGUAGGUUGGGUUGGAAAUCUAUUUGUAUUUGAUGCCCGUCUUUCUCUGCCGCCUUCUACUUACAAGCCUGAAGUGGGGAUCGAAGCAAGCACAAAGCUAAAAGGCUCCCUGGAUAACUCGUUUGCCAAAUGCUACAUCUGUGGUUCACAAGUCUGUGAGCUGAGGCACCGCAAUUGUGCAAACCUUGACUGCAACUUACUUUUCCUGUAAGACUAACCAUUCCACCAAAUAAACAUAUGGAUGGAUGCUACUUUAAUCACUUAUAUUUGCACCAUCAAGCCUGUGGAGUUGGUAUAUGAUUUGUUUUACUUCCAAAAUUCAGCUAACGAGAGACAUUUUGGGCGAAAGACUUCCAUGACUUAGCUUACCUAUUUGUAUCAACUUUCCUCCAAGUAAGUAGGAGAAAGAAGUUGAUGUCUCUAGCCAAGGAUCCUUAAGAUAAAACUUUUUCUUAAGUGCUUUCCUCCAAAACGGUAGAAGAAAGAACUUUUUUCUCUAGGCAAGGAUUCAUCAGUUUAAAACUUGUCUUACUUUUCUAUCUCCAGCGAAACGAAGGCUGCUCUUAUAUUACUCUGUGGUUUGUAUCAGUUAUAUAAACACUAAACAGUAGAUUGAAAGAAAGUGUGUACUUAUAUUCGUUCUAAUACUUCAUUGGUUUUGUUCAGAUGCUGCGCAGGCUGCGUGAAAGAUCUAAGGGGAUGCUGCUGUUCUCAAUGCACAUCUGCACGUCGACUUAGGCCGGUGCUGACAGGUAACCAGAGAUACCAAAAAUGGCAUAAUUAUCGAGAUUUCGAGUUGCAAAGCCGGUGACAUCUUGAUCUGUUGGAAGUUGAAAAUGUAGAUCUCCAAUUAUUGGGGAGACCGAAUGGAAAAUUAAGAGAGAAAACUGACCUCUAUUCUCUACAUACUCCAAAAUUCAGGUUCCAAAAAGACUAGUUUCUCUUUUAUUGGUUUAGUCUAAUUUUAUUUAAUGCGGGAGGAAUGUCCAUCAGUCACAAAAUUAGGUUGUUAAGUACCCCUAUUAGGUGAAAAUAUUAGGCAUAUAUAAUCUUGGAAGAACGUUGUCUUUUACUGAUAAUUAGAUAUUAUUGAAGGCUGAAUUUAAUUGGGAAGUAUCACUUUGUGUACUUAGGUUAUUAGUAUUUUUUAAGACAUAAUCAAACAUCCAUAUGCUGAUUUUGUAUACGAUUAAAAUCGGGCCUACCCGAUUUUACUAUUUGACCGAGACCGGGAGUUUGCAUUGGAGGAUGGCCUCGUAACGGAAUAGGCCAUAUCACGAGGAUAAGGUACCGAGUUUAGAACCGAGGUACCUGUCAAGAUCGAGGCUAGUAGCGAUCGAAGCCAAACAAAACAGACAUCGAGCAAGAUCGAAGAUAGCACAAUAACAGAAAGGCGAGAUAUCCGUGACUGGUCGAGGAUUAUGGCGUAAAUCUCGGUGACUGGUCAAGGAUCAUGGCGUAAAUCUCAGAACGGAUCAAAUCAGAAACGGUUAAUUUGCUAAUCAUGGGAUUUUCUUCUGUAAUUAGAGUUAUACCAUAAGUGGAACUGCUCUACUAUAUAAAGGGGAGUAUUAACCAUUUGUAAGACAUGGUUCUCACGUAAAAAAGCUAAUAUAACGCUCUCUUUAGCUUAUACUUUCUUGUUCAUCAACUUGCUUUAUUUUUAACUAUUUUGGUAUCAAUCAGUUCGAGGGCACCCUAGCUCGAGGGUUGAAUUUCGUUUCAAUACUGGUUCGCUUUAUUUUAUAAUUCAUUUCUGUUAUUAAUCUUCAUAUUUGUCUAUAGGUAUUAAGUGAAAUCGCGUAUCCUUAGAAUCUCAUUAUAAGUUUAAUUGUUAUUCAAUUUUAAGGGUAAACAGUUUGGCGCCUACCGUGGGGCUAAGGAUAAUAGUGAUUGCUUAAUACUAAUUUCGAUAACACACACUACUUUACACUUGUUCUCGUAAGAAUCUUUGUUUUCAGGAUAAAUAUGUCAAACUCGCAAGCAGAACCUACACAUGGUGACAACAACCUCGGAUUUCAUGGGAAAAACGACAACAUAACCGCCCCAGGAAUCGAGGUGCCUCAGGCCGACCUCGAGGGAGCACCAAUUGCAAAUCCCGUCGAUGUCAGUUCACAUGUCGCCCUAAAUGCAAAUUUGGGCGUUGAGCCCGAAGGUAGUAUACGCAGGGAAGUUCGAUCAGGUGGUCGAGGUACGCAGGGCGGAGAAGAUGGUGGAGUUAGUCUCCAAUUGAUAUUCGAAUUGUUACAAGCUCAACAAGCCGAUAUAGCACAACUACAAAAUCAGCACCGAACACCGAGUAGGUUCGAACCAGAAGUCGUUCGCAGGACUGGGCCUGUGCCAGAAAGGUCGAAUGCCAACGAAUCGGGGACUGACCCCGCCAUUAUGAAAAUGUUCGAGGAGCUCACUAAACGGAUUGAAUCGGGAGAAAAAAUAUUGAGGCAAAUGACAAGAAAAUGGAGACAUACAACUUCCGGGUUGACCAAAUACCAGGGGCACCACCGAUUCUAAAAGGUAUGGAUUCAAAGAAAUUUGUACAGAAGUCCUUCCCAUCAAGUGCGGCACCGAAACUCAUUCCGAAGAAGUUCCGAAUGCCAGAAAUUCCUAAGUACAAUUGGAUCACCGACCCUAAUGAACAUGUCACUUCUUAUACAUGCGCAAUAAAGGGAAAUGACUUAGAAGACGAUGAGAUUGAAUCUGCUCUACUGAAGAAAUUUGGAGAAACCUUGUCGAAAGGAGCAAUGAUAUGGUACCACAAUUUGCCGCCUAGUUCCAUCGAUUCAUUCGCCAUGCUUGCAGACUCCUUCGUAAAGGCACAUGCCGGAGCAAUAAAGGUUGCGAUUAGAAAAUCGGACCUCUUCAAGGUGAAACAAAAAGACAAUGAAAUGUUGAGGGAAUUCGUAUCUCGGUUUCAGAUGGAACACAUGGAACUACCACCGGUCACAGACGAUUGGGCUGUUUAUGCCUUUACUCAAGGUUUGAACGAACGAAGUUCGGUGGCAUCACGACAACUAAAGCAAAAUUUAAUUGAAUAUUCAGCGAAAACCUGGGCCGAUGUACAUAAUCGGUACCAGUCGAAGAUCAGGGUCGAGGAUGAUCAAUUGGGGACCCCUUCCGAUUCCGCUUAUCCAAAUAGGCCCGUUGGUAGAACUCAAAGGGAUAUCGAUAGAGAACCCCGGUCGAGCAGAGAUCGGUAUCUAUCAUACAACGCAGUUCGUAGAAACAACGGCCCAGGACGCAAUCCCAUCCGAAAUGAUCGAAGGAACGAUCGAAGACCGAGCUCUCGAGGGCUCAUGAGCAAAAGUGGCUUCGAUAAACAUGCCAAUCCCACAGAAGCACCACGAUUGUCAGAAUGCAACUUCAGCAUCGACGCAUCAGGUAUUGUGUCAGCCAUAAUCAAAGAUACUAGAUGGCUCAAACCCCUACAAAUCGAUCCAUCCCAAAGGAACCCCAAUCAAACAUGCAAAUACCAUGGUACACAUGGUCAUAAAACCGAAGACUGCAGACAACUAAGGGAGGAGGUGACCCGUUUAUUCAACGAGGGUCACCUUCGAGAAUUCUUGAGCGACCGAACUAAAAACCAUUUCAGAGACAGAGACGCAAACAGGAAAAACAAGUAGGAAGAACCACAACACGUGAUUCACAUGAUCAUUGGUGGGGUCGAUAUUCCACAAGGACCCGUGUUCAAACCCACUAAAGUAUCAAUCACCAGAGAAAAACGAACUCGAGACUAUGUGCCAGAAAGCGCUUUAUCAUUCAAUGAUGAGGAAGCAGAAGGGAUCUCACAACCCCACAAUGAUGCUUUGGUAAUCUAUAUCCUUAUGAAUAAAAUUCAGGUUAAACGUGUUUUAAUUGAUCCAGGAAGCUCGGCCAAUAUUAUUCGAUCGAGGGUCGUGGAGCAGCUCGGCCUAUAAGAUCAGAUCGUACCCGCAACUCGGAUUCUCAAUGACUUUAACAUGGCAAGCGAAACAACUAAAGGUGAAAUCAUCCUACCAGUAAAUGUAGCCGGAAUUAUUCAAGAAACAAAGUUCCAUGUGAUCGAAGGCGAUAUGAGAUACAACGCACUGCUCUGAAGACCCUGGAUUCACAAUAUGAGGGUGGUCCCCUCAACCCUUCACCAAAUGCUGAAGUUCCCAACACCGGAUGGAGUAAAAACAGUGUAUGGGGAACAACAUGCUGCCAAAGAGAUGUUCGCGGUCGACGAAGUGAUACCGAUAUCGUCGCUUUCGUCAACAAAAGGAUCGGAGUCCAAAGGAAAACAAGAAGCUAAAUAGCAACCACAGCUACCAGCCUCGACUCAAUCGGAGAAGCAGGGAACGGACGAUGACGAUGACGAUGACUAUUGGAUCCCUCGAUCCUUCAUAAUCCUCGAGGAUUCCGACGCCACCAAAUCGACGGUCGAGGAGCUAGAACAAGUUGUACUGAUCGAGCAUCUACCCGAUCGAAAUGUAUACCUGGGUACAGAGUUAACCCCCGAGCUCAGGAGAAAACUUAUCAAUUUUCUUAUAAAUAAUAUGGAUUGUUUUGCUUAGUCCCAUUUAGAUAUGACAGGGAUCCCGCCGAAAAUCGCUACAAAUCUACUAAGCUUGGACCCGAAGUUCCGCCCGGUAAAACAAAAGAGAAGACCCCAGUUCGAGGUAAAACAUGCAUUCAUCAAGAACGAGGUAACCGAACUUCUCAAAAUAAGAUCCAUUCGCGAGGUAAAAUAUCCCGAAUGGUUAGCAAACGUAGUUGUAGUCCCUAAAAAGGGAAAUAAACUUAGAAUGUGCGUAGACUAUAAAGAUUUAAACAAAGCAUGUCGUAAAGACUCUUUUCCUCUGCUGAAUAUCGAUCGCAUGAUCGAUGCCAAGGCCGGCCACGAGAUCCUUAGUUUUCUCGAUGCCUACUCCGGGUACAAUCAAAUACAAAUGAACCCGGAGGAUCAGGAAAAGACUUCGUUCAUCACUAAGUAUGGCACCUAUUGUUAUAAUGUAAUGCCGUUUGGACUAAAAAAUGCUGGUGCCACUUAUCAACGCUUAAUAAAUCGAAUGUUCGAAGAACAAAUAGGUAAGUCAAUGGAAGUUUAUAUUGACAAUAUGCUAGUUAAGUCCCUGCGAGCAGAGGACCAUUUGACACAUUUGUAGGAGACCUUCGAUAUACUAAGGGAAUACAACAUGAAACUCAACCCGGAGAAAUGUGCAUUAGGGGUCGGCUCAGGAAAAUUCCUCGGCUUUAUGGUAUCAAAUCGGGGUAUCGAAAUCAAUCCCGAUAAGAUCAAGGCAAUCGAGGACAUCACAGUCGUGGAUAAUGCUAAGGCCGUACAAAGAUUAACAGGGCGCAUAGCCGCCCUAGGGCGAUUCAUCUCGAGGUCUUCAGAUAGAAGUCACAGGUUCUUCUCACUGCUCAAAAAGAACAACAAUUUUGCAUGGACCCCGGAAUGCCAACAAGCAUUGGAAGAACUAAAGCAGUACCUCUCGAGCCCGCCACUGCUUCAUACUCCGAAAGCGGACGAGCAACUAUACUUGUACUUAGCAGUCUCGGAAAUCGCGAUAAGUGGUAUCCUAGUUCGAGAAGAGCAAGGUACGCAAUUUCCUGUUUAUUAUGUUAGUCGAACUCUAGGCGAGGUUGAGACCCGGUACCCAUACUUAGAAAAAUUAGCACUUGCCCUAAUAAGCGCCUCUAGGAAAUUAAAACCAUAUUUACAGAGUCACCCGAUCGGCGUGGUGACUACUUAUCCUCUUCGCAAUAUUUUGCAUAAGCCCGAACUUUCGGGCCGAUUGGCCAAAUGGGUCGUCGAGAUCAGUGGGUACGAUAUCGAGUAUCGACCCCGAACGACCAUCAAGUCUCAAAGCUUAGCGGACUUCGUGGCCGACUUUACGCCAACCCUCGUACCCGAGGUUGAAAAGGAACUAUUAAUAAAGUCGGGUACAUCAUCGGGGGUGUGGACCCUCUUCACAGAUGGUGCUUCAAACGUGAAGGGGUCCGAGUUAGGCAUCGUUUUGAAGCCACCCACGGGUAAUACAGUUAUACAAGCUAUCAAAACUGCCAAGUUAACUAACAAUGAAGCCGAGUAUGAGGCCAUGAUUGCAGGUCUCGAGCUAGCUAAAGGUUUGGGAGCAGAAGUCAUCGAGGCAAAAUGUGACUCCUUGCUUGUGGUAAACCAAGUCAAUAGAACCUUCGAGGUUCGAGAAGAUUGAAUGCAGAGAUACUUGGACAAACUACAGGUGAAUCUACAUCGGUUUAAAGAAUGGACUCUACAUCAUGUGCCUCAAGAACAAAACAGCGGGGCCGAUGCCCUCGCAAAUUUGUGGUCAUCAGUCGAAGACGACGAGAUCAGCUCGGGGACUGUCGUAUAACUUUCAAGGUUAGUAAUCGUAGAAGGCUACACCGAAAUCAACUCCACAAGCCUGACCUGGGAUUGGAGGAACAAAUAUAUCGAAUACCUAAAAAACGGGAAGCUUCCAUCGGACCCUAGGGAAUCGAGGACUCUACGUACGAAGGCCACACGAUUCACAUUGGCCGAAGACGGAACACUGUAUAGAAGGAUGUUCGAUGGACCAUUGGCAAUAUGUUUGGGACCGGGAGAUAUCGACUACGUCCUACGAGAAAUCCACGAGGGCACUUGUGAAAAUCAUUCCGGUGCCGAAUCAUUGGUUCACAAAGUCAUCAGAGCAGGAUACUAUUGGGCCGAUAUGGAAAAAGAUACAAAAGAGUUUGUUCGAAAGUGCGACAAAUGUCAAAGGUAUGCGCCGAUGAUUCACCAACCCGGAGAGCAACUCCACUCAGUCUUAUCCCCAUGGCCAUUCAUGAAGUGGGGAAUGGAUAUCGUCGGCCCUCUGCCAUCGGCCCCGGGUAAAGCUAAAAUUAUUUUGUUUAUGACUGACUAUUUCUCUCUAUGGGUUGAAGCGCAGGCUUACGAGAAAAUUAGAGAGAAAGAAGUCAUAGACUUCAUCUGGGACUACAUUAUAUGUCGAUUCGGGAUGCCUGCCGAGAUCGUAUGCGAUAAUGAAAAGCAGUUCGUCGGCAGCAAAGUGACAAAAUUUCUCGAAGAUCACAAAAUAAAAAGAAUCCUGUCGACGCCUUAUCAUCCUAGUGGGAACGGCAGGCCGAAUCAACAAACAAAACCAUCAUUCAAAAUCUAAAGAAAAGAUUGAACGAUGCUAAGGGAAAAUGGAGAGAAAAUAUUGCCCGAAGUCCUUUGGGAGUAUCGAACGACGUGAAAAUCCAGUACGGGGGCAACGCCGUUUUCUUUAGUAUACGGCGCCGAAGCUCUGAUCGCGGUUGAAGUCGGGGAACCCAGCGUCAGGUUUCGAUAUGCAACGGAAGAUUCAAAUCACGAGGCUAUGAAUACAAGCCUCGAAUUGCUAGAUGAAAAAUGGAAAGCCGCCCCCUUUCGAAUGGCCGCACAGAAACAACGGAUCGAAAGGUAGUACAAUCGAAGAACCAAUCUUCGACACUUCAAAAUCGGGGACUUGGUUCUGAGAAAGGUCACCCUCAAUACUCGAGACCCAAAUGAAGGAAAACUUGGUCCGAACUGGGAGGGACCGUAUCAGGUACUCGGCAUCGUCGAAAAAGGAUCCUACAAACUUGGCACUAUGAACGGCGAAUAAUUACCAAACAAUUGGAACAUAUCACUCCUCAAACGAUAUUACUGCUAAGGUAUGACCUUCUCCAUUUUCGUUUAUAUUUUAUACUAGCCAUUUGCAGAUGUUUGAUCGAAGACAUCAGAGGAUUCUUCAAGCACAAAGUCCUUAGGUCUGAAAGCACGCGUUGCACUCUUUUUCCCUUAAACCGGUUUUUGUCCCAAAUGGGUUUUUCCGGCGAGGUGUUUAACGAGGAAACCAUUGUUCAUGCUAACUUAGAGCAAUUCAACAGUAUUCGAGGCUCCUUUACAAUCAACCUCGAAUACUGGGGGGCAACACCUUCGGAUACUUACAAGGAAAAUACUUCGUGUCGAUAGGGUCUCGAUAGGUAAAUUUUGUAGAGGACCAAACGGUCAAAUGAACCGUGUCCAUGUAGAUUACUCGAACUCUAAUGGCAAAACACGUACGCAUAUAUAAUCUAUUGAAAGAAGUAUUUUUCCUUACCAGAUGUUCCAUGCUUAAGAAAAAUUUAUACUUUACAAUUUCAUACUUAUGAUCUAUUGUGGAAACUAGCUUAAGGGCCGAUCACAACUGAAGUUCAAACAAUUUACCCGAUACUCAGGGACUGCCGUCCAAAAAAUCGACAUGAACGAAUUACUAAACCUCGAAAUCGUAAGACCUUAAAAAGGCAAUCCUCGAUUUUAUAGGCCACGGCCACCCCACUCGGGGACUGAUACUUCGAACAAGUUCGAAGUAUAACAGGGGGACAAGCCCAAAAGGAAAAUUCCAAGUUAAAGGCUACGGCCAAAUUAACACGGUUCAGAGACGUCUGAUUCCUUUUAUUAAACAGGCCUUCGAAUAUUUUUACAAACCGGUUAAAAAGGCUACCCUCGGCCAUAUUUCUAAGGGUCUCGAUAAUAUCGAGCCUCGAAAACCCUAAUGGGUACAAAGUCGUUCGAACUCUCGAACAAAUUCUUUAUUUUAUGCUAAGGCAUUACGAAACAAAAGGUCUCGAUAAUAUCGAUCCUUGAAAAUCCUAAUGGGUACGGAACCAUUCGAACUCUCGAGCAAACCCUUUAUUUCGUGCUAAGGCACAACAGAAUUUAUAUGAUUAAACAAUAAACUUUUCAAGCCGAAAAGGGGGAGAAAGCCAUUCUUUUUGCUAUGACCGUAUCGGCCUAAUUCAAGAGCCUAAAGGGCCUGUUUAUUUUUGAGAAACUAUCCUCACUCAAUUAAAACCUAAGGGUCACCCUUCUACGAGUUCGAGCAAGUACUCACUCGAUUAUAAAAACUACACUAGUUCGGCUUCGAUCAAAUUGCCUAAGCCUCGAACUUAUGAACAAAAUUUUCAUAAGGCAUAAACAAAACAAAAUUUUCACAAGGCAUAAAUGAAAUAAAGACAAGUCGGAAAGGAAAGAGAUCUUUAUAUAUAUGAGAAUAUUUAUAAGAUCCGAUCAGGAUCCUAUACAAAAGAUCAAAAGUGAAAAAUCCUAAGGUUCCUGAUCUUCUCCGGGGACAACUUCUUCUCCAUCGAGGUCCUCCCCAUUCUCGGACCCGCUCUUGCUGCCAUCAUCAUCAUCAUCAUCGGAAGUGGCCAACGCUCCAGCUUCGGCUUCAUGCUCUCUAGCCUUUACUAUCUCGUCGGUAAGAUCGAAACCUCGAACGUGGAUCUCCUCGAGGGUUUCCCUCCGAGAUUGACAUUUGGCGAGUUCGGCAAUCCAAUAUGCUCGAGUUUGAGUGGUCUCGUAUGCCUCUCUCGCUUGGACUUGAGCGGCUUCAGCAUCGGCCCGAUAGACGGCCACGAUCGCAUCUGCCCCGGCCUUUGCCUUUUCAGCUUCAGAUUUGGCCUUGGCAAGUUCGGAAGCCAACCGAGCCUCGAGCUCCUCUAUUUUCCUUGCUUGAGCCGAGCUCUUCUCCCUCAUGCCUCGAAGCUGACUUUCGGCCGAUGACAAUUUGGAUAAAGUAGUCUCUUUUUCUGUAGCGAAGCGGUCCAUGCCUUCUUUCCACCCCAAGGUCUCCGCCUUCAUCAUAUUGACCUCCUCGCGGAGCUGCUCGAUCCUCUCGACCUUCUGCUGCAGCUGUGAGAUUGAAAUAUUAGCCACCAUUCCCGAAUCGAGCCCAUGGGCUUUUAAGAUUUUCAUUACCUACUCGAUCAGGUCGGUCUGAUCUUAGUGAGCCUUGGCCAACUCGGCUCGGAGGUCCUUGGUCUCCUAUUCUUUUUUCCCAUAGAGAAGUUUAAGGGCAUUCCUCUCCUCCGUGAGUCCUCGGAGGUCGGCCUCACAUCGACUCAGCUUAGCUCGAGACCGAGAAAAUGCUUCCCGGUGAAGCGCCGAGGCCUACGCAGAAAGAAGAAAAGAAGUUAGACAGGAAGAGAAAAAUGAACACAAGUGUAACACCAUUAAGGGGAGUUAAGGCUUACCUGAUUCAGAGCUUGCUGCACUUCAUUGAAAAGGCUCGAUGCCUCGCCCGAGUCCUUCCUCGAGACCUCCAAGUCACUCAGACCGGUAAAGUAAUCACGGAAGGGGUUCUCCUUUCUGUGGGCUCCUUCGAUGGAGAGGGUCUUCAAGGCCCGAGCCUCUUGAAUCAUCUCCUCAGAAAACGAGGGGAGCAGCGGGGAGCCUCCAAUUUCUAUUGCCCCAAGUGAAUCACUUGGGGCGUUCUCCUUAUCUCGAGGGGCCUCGACAGCCGUACCCACCGUUGGCUCAGUGUGGUGGGAGGCAUCUUCGAUCCUCGAUGACUCGGGGACUUCGCCCAAGUCUCUUCCCGAGUCCCCCUCAUCUCGAGACGGAGUCUCUGCAGCCUUCACCGAUUCAUUGGCCUUUGGAACCUCGGUGCUCAUUCCCACUCGGGCCAUCAGCCUGGAGUCGUCAUCUUCCACUUCUUCAUCUUCCUCCCUUAGACACCGAACAAACUCUUCGGUUAGGAGGAUGAUGUUCUUCUUCGGCUUACGAGCCGCCUUCUUCUUAGGUUCUGGAUCCUCGGAGGGUGAGGACUUUUUCCUCUUUUUGUCCUUCGCCGGUUUCGGUGCCGGGAUCGAAAUCUCCGCCUCACCAGAUAGGGCCCCUCAUAACUGCAUCUUUGCCAAGGCCUGUAUGAAAAGGGAAUUAAGUAAGAAAUGCUUUAUUAAAAUCAUUAAAGACGUGGAAAAGGGGCUUACCAUGAGUUUUGGCUUCCCAUAGGCCCUUUGAUAAGUCACGCCAUGAACGCUCGGCAUACGUAGAGGUCGAGGCUAGGUCCCGAACCCAGCUCUUGAGGUUAGGGAUUGCAUCAGGCAUCUAAGCGACCGCUACAUCACGGAAAAAAGAUAUCAAUGAGAAGAAGCAAAAGAGCAAAACAAUUAAUAGUGUACUUACGCUUCAUAUUCCAUUUCUCGGGAAAUGGCAUCUUCUCGGCCGGGAUUAGGUCGGAAGUCCUCACUCGAACGAACCGGCCCAUCCAGCCUCGAUCCUUGUCCUCGGCUAUGCUCGAGAACAACACUUUGGUAGCCUGGUGUUGGAGUUUUAUUAACCCGCCUCGAUAGAAGCGGGAACUGUAUAACUUGAUGAGGUGGUCGAGGGUGAAAGGCAUCCCCUCGAUGGAUUUGGCCUAGGGUUAUUUGAUACUGACGGCAAAAAUCAACGACGGAGGAGUCGAGGGGGCCCAGCGUAAAAGGGUAAGUGUAAACACUUAGAAACUCUUCCACAUGGGUAGUGAUGUCCUCUUCGGGGGUCGGGAUCACCACCUCUUUGCCCUCCCAGUUGCAAUCUUUCUUUACCUACUUAAGGUAUCCCUCAGUUAUCGAGCAUAUAUACAUCGACACUAGCUCGCAUCAACCGGGAACUGACGAGGCUUUAUCGGUCUUAAAAUCGAAAGUGAGGACACAACCCCCGGGAACACAUUCCUCGGGGCGCGGCUCCGUCGGUGUCUUGUCGCCGGCAGACCGCGAUGAAGAAGCGUUUUCCUUUUGAGGAACAGUUUUUGACUUACCAUUUUUGUAUGGAUUCGAAGUUAAAAAUAGAUGGAGAUGAUAAGAUUUGGUGUUUUGAGAAGAGGUUAGCAGUGAAAAUCGUAGAUUUGCAGAUGAAGAAAUUAGAAGAUAUAAAAAGUUUUGGAGAUUGAAAAUCUGAAAGUAAAAGUUCAAAAUGGUGGAGAGGGGCUAUUUAUAAAUUUCACAACGACGAUUCAAUAUUGGCGGUGGCCGACCAUCGACUGACGUGCAUUUAAUGCCUUGGUAAUUGUACAGACGGGACGUUUCAGUCACUUCCGUCGCUUACGUCACAAGGAUAACAUCAUGACAAGUCGAGAUAGAAAAUCGAAGGCUCAAUUCGUUUCUUGUCAUUAUACUCCAAAAAUACGAGGGGACUAUCUGUAUACGGUUAAAAUCGGGCCCAUCCGAUUUUACUAUUUGACCGAGACCGGGAGUUUGCAUCGGAGGAUGGCCUCGUAACGGAAUAGGCCAUAUCACGAGGACAAGGUACCGAGUUCAGAACCGAGGUACCUGUCAAGAUCGAAGCUAGUAGCGAUAGAAGCCAAACAAAACAGACAUCGAGCAAGAUCGAAGAUAGCACAAUAACAGAAAUGCGAGAUAUUCGUGACUGGUCGAGGAUCACGGCGUAAAUCUCGGUGACUGGUCAAGGAUCAUAGCGUAAAUCUCGGAACGGAUCAAAUCAGAAACGGUUAAUUAGCUAAUCAUGGGAUUUUCUUCUGUAAUUAGAGUUAUACCAUAAGUGGAACUCCUCUACUAUAUAAAGGGGAGUAUUUACUAUUUGUAAGACAUGGUUCUCACGUUAAAAAGCCAAUAACGCUCUCUCUUUAGCUUAUACUUUCUUGUUCAUCAGCUUGCUUUUAUUUUUAACUAUUUUGGUAUCAAUCAGUUCGAGGACACCCUAGCUCGAGGGUUGAAUUCCGUUUCAAUACUGGUUCGCUUUAUUUUAUAGUUCAUUUCUGUUAUUAAUCUUCAUAUUUGUCUAUCGGUGUUAAGUGAAAUCGCGUAUCAUUAGAACUUCAUUAUAAGUUUAAUUGUUAUCAAAUUUUAAGGGUAAAUUGAUUUAUUUAUUGUUCUGCCUCUUCAGUAUUUGCUUUCUUAUUUAUUGUUCCAUAUGCUGAGGCUAUAUGAUAGUGGAUUAUUUUAAAGAUACUGACUUCUUAUAAAAAGAAGAAGGUUGUUUUCAAAUUCAGAAAAGGGUCAUGAAGUUAGUAACUAAUUUAACGUCGUAUAAGUUUAAAAUUUUGAAAUAUGUUUGUUGUUGACAGAAACUCACUGUCUGAAUUAGUAAGUACUCCUAAUUGAGAAAAGAAUGCUAAGAGCCCCCUCUAAAAACUUUAUGAUCCAAACACUUCCCUUUUAAAAAUAUGACAGGAUAUGUCCUUUUUGAAGAUUUUAUUACCUGCUCUCUCCCUUCUGAUGCUGACUCCACCGAAGGCCAUUCCCCCUUUUUUCUUUGUUUUUAUUUUUUACUUUCUUGUUUUUAUCCUUUUCACUUUCUUUUAUUUUUUCCCAUAAACUAGUAAUAGUCCCUCACUUUUUUACUUUAUUUUUUUCUAGUUUUAAUUUUUUUAAUUAUAUUUUACAGUAUUUCUUUAUUUUCUUAAUUUUGUUCUAUCUAGUAAAAUUAUCCAAAAUAUUUCUUCUCUUUUUCACUUUCUUUUUAUUAUUAUUAUUAUUAUUAUUAUUAUUAUUAUUAUUAUUAUUAUUAUUAUUAUUAUUAUUAUUAUUAUUAUUAUUUUAUUGUUUUCAGUAAAAUGCAUCUGUACAAACUUUUGCACUCUCUUUCACUUGUUUCUUUGUUCUUUCUACUUAAGUGAGUGAAUCCUAAAAUUUAUAUUGGUCAUUUUCUACACAAUUAUUUAUCCAUCAUGAUUAUUGAGAGUUACCUUCUCACCUUUUUAAUGUGUUUUUCGUACUUUUUAUUUUAUUUUAUAUUAUAGAUGGUUUUAUUUUAUAAUUUCCAAAGAAAUUUUAGGGUUUUUUAAAUAAAAGAUUAUCUCAAAUAUUUUAUAUAUAUCAUUAGAUAGUAAUUGUCACACCUCCUUUUUCCCGAGGGAUAUGGGAGUUUUUCCAAUUAAAGUGACAUUAUUCGAAAUGGGAUUAUUUAUUUAAUUAGAGUCGCCACUUGGAAUAAUUAUUAUGGUGUCCCAAGUCACCAGUUUAUUUUAAAAUCCCAAAUCGAGAAAAUUUGACUCUAUUUGUGGUCUACGAACACAGAAGAUCGGGUAAAGAAUUUUGUUAACCAGGAAAAAGGUGUGAGGCACUCCCGAGUUCCGUGGUUUUAGCACGGUCGCUUAACAAUUAAUACCUGGCUUAAAUAUCUGAAUUAUUACAUGUUUUAGAACCUUUUUGUAUUGCCGCUUUUAUACCGUUUUUAAUUAUUUUAAAACAAUUAUGAAAUUAAUUUAAACAAGUCGCAGUGUCGCGCACUUGUUAUUUUUGUACACACCGCAAAUCACGCCACAUGAAAUGUACCCGUGAUUCACAACAUGUUUAUUUUUAAUUAUUCGAAGUUGAUUGGUCAAGUCGCUUGAACGCACACUUGAAUUUUGGAUUUAGGUAUCAUAGUUAUGCCACGGGAGCCGUACCCAUAACCAUGAUAAUUAAAUUAUUUAGGUGCCUAAAAGCAACUAACGUGUUUAUAAUUCAUUUUUCAAAAAAACUAAUUUGAGAUUAUUGUAAGGCCAUAGAUAUGAAAUUAUUUGUGGAAAAGAUGAAGUAAAUUAGUUAUAGAAAGGUGGGCUAUCUUGUAGCCUUAUUGACAUUUGCGCCAGCUUCAAUUGUAUCACUCUUGGGCCGGGCAGAAUUCUUUUUGGCCCAAAUCCUUUUCUGACUUAAACCAACACACAACCCGCUUUAAUAUUUCUACACUACGUUAACAUGGCCCAAUAUGAUUAUUACCCAACCUACAAGAAUUCGAUGAACAGUCCAUAAAUUAAAUGGAACAAAUAAUUCCCUAUAUUAAUCUUAUCAGCUACAACCAAUUUAAGAUAUCAAAUUAACGAAAAGGCAAGGAAACAAAUACAAUCAUUAGCUCAUCACAUUAAAAUAAGCAUGCUUACAAUAAUUAGCAAAGAAAACAAAAGACAAGGCAGAUGAACAUAUAGAAAUGGGCAGAGGAGUAAAAAUGGACCUUGAAUGAAUAAUGAAACUUUAAUUUCUGAGUGGCUUUCGUUGGACAAGGAACAUCGAACCGGAGUGAAUCGAAUGGCGACCUCGAUGGUGAUCUCGAACUCAACUUUGGAGUUGCUGUUUUCGUGCGAAAAGGAGGCUGUUUUUCUGCGUUUUCGGCUGAUUUUGGAGGUUGUUCGACAGCUUUUAACUGUGGUUUUGAGCUGAAGAAAAUGGUGUCAUUUCAGCAGGUUUUAGGAUUGAUUUAAGGGGCUGUUUCAGGUCAGUUUUCAUGGGAGAUGGUGGCUUGUUUUAAAUUGGAUUUUCAGCUCGUUUUUGGAGCUGUUUUGAGGUCGUUUUGGGGGGUGUUUUAUGGGUAUUUUUGGGGCUGGAAUUUGAGGAUUUUUGGGGUUGGAUUUCAGGAUGUUUUUAGGGAAUUUUGGGCUGUUAUUGAGCUGCUUUUGGGGAGUAAUUUCAGCUGCGUUUUGGGGUUGGAUUUCAGGAUAUUUUUAGGGAAUUUCGGGCUGUUAUUGAGCUGCUUUUGGGGAGUAAUUUCAGCUGCGUUUUGGCUGAUUUCUGGUACGUUUUGGGGAUGUUUUGAAGCUGGUUUUCAGGAUAGUUUUGGAUUGGUUUUAGCUGAAAUUUCAGCAGUAUUUUGGGUAAUUUUUGGUGAAAGCUUGGUAUAUUUUAAGGGAGAAAAACAAAGGUGUUCGGAUGGUGUUGAGGCUGCUGAUUAGGUGGAGGAGACGGGACUGUUUAGCAGAGCUUUUGGGGGUAAAGAUGGUGGAAAGAGGGUGAAACUUUGAUGGUUGAUUUCGUGGAGAGGGAGACUGCGCUAUUGUGCUUUCUUUUUUCGUCCCUUCUUCCUCUAAUGUGGCCUUUGUGUGUGUGAUAUAUAUAGCUAAAGGGAUGAGGGAGAGGAUGUGAGGGAAUAUU
RNAcentral lists this long non-coding RNA (16240 nucleotides) under Nicotiana tabacum (common tobacco). RNAcentral's name for it is "long non-coding RNA (NTAB_LNC003165)". Lineage: Eukaryota; Viridiplantae; Streptophyta; Magnoliopsida; Solanales; Solanaceae. The record is from RNAcentral.